UACGUAGGGCGCAAGCGUUAUCCGGAAUUAUUGGGCGUAAAGGGUCCGUAGGCGGUUUGAAAAGUCAGAUGUGAAAUCCCACAGCUCAACUGUGGAACUGCAUUUGAAACUUUCAGACUAGAGUAUGAGAGGGGUAAAGGGAAUUCCCGGUGUAAGGGUGAAAUCUGCAGAGAUCGGGAGGAACACCAGUCGCGAAGGCGCUUUACUGGCUCAUUACUGACGCUCAGGGACGAAAGCUAGGGGAGCAAACGGG
This 253-nucleotide ribosomal RNA is filed under the name uncultured bacterium. RNAcentral's name for it is "partial 16S ribosomal RNA". It matches the Rfam family "Bacterial small subunit ribosomal RNA", at positions 524 to 776 of the family's 1533-position model. The record is from RNAcentral.